UUGGGGGGCUGGCAAUCGCCCAUAUCCCGCCUUGAGCGGUGAAUGGGAGGAAAGUCUGGACAUCGUAGGAAAAGAUACCAGUGAAAGACUGGGGGCCGCAAGGCUACGGAAAGUGCAACAGAAAACAUACCGCUGGCAGCUUGCUGCUAGACAGGGUGAAAUGGCUUGUUUUGUGAAUAAGCCCUCACUUAGGGCGACCUAAGGAGUUGUAAACCCUAUCUGAUGCAAGGCAAAUUGAAGCGUUGAGGUUUCCGCCUAGCUUCAGACGAGCCGCUUGAGGACUAUGGCAACAUAGUCCCUAGAAGAAUGAUUGCCCUUGACAGAAUCCGGCUUACGCCCCCCAAUUUU
This 348-nucleotide RNase P RNA is filed under the name Parachlamydiaceae bacterium. Its description in RNAcentral is "RNase P RNA component class A". It matches the Rfam family "Bacterial RNase P class A". Rfam says of the family: Ribonuclease P (RNase P) is a ubiquitous endoribonuclease, found in archaea, bacteria and eukarya as well as chloroplasts and mitochondria. Its best characterised activity is the generation of mature 5'-ends of tRNAs by cleaving the 5'-leader elements of precursor-tRNAs. The record is from RNAcentral. Lineage: Bacteria; Pseudomonadati; Chlamydiota; Chlamydiia; Parachlamydiales; Parachlamydiaceae.